UGGGGGAUAUUGGACAAUGGGGGAAACCCUGAUCCAGCGAUGCCGCGUGAGGGAAGAAGGUUUUCGGAUUGUAAACCUCUGUGGAGGGGGACGAUAAUGACGGUACCCCUCAAGGAAGCCACGGCUAACUACGUGCCAGCAGCCGCGGUAAUACGUAGGUGGCGAGCGUUGUCCGGAAUUACUGGGUGUAAAGGGAGUGUAGGCGGGAAUGCAAGUCAGAAGUGAAAAUUACGGGCUCAACCCGUAGCCUGCUUUUGAAACUGUAUUUCUUGAGUGAAGUAGAGGCAAGCGGAAUUCCAAGUGUAGCGGUGAAAUGCGUAGAUAUUUGGAGGAACACCAGUGGCGAAGGCGGCUUGCUGGGCUUUUACUGACGCUGAGGCUCGAAAGCGUGGGGAGCAAACAGG
RNAcentral lists this ribosomal RNA (404 nucleotides) under uncultured bacterium. RNAcentral describes it as "bacterial SSU rRNA". It matches the Rfam family "Bacterial small subunit ribosomal RNA", at positions 355 to 776 of the family's 1533-position model. The record is from RNAcentral.